UACAGAGGUCCCGAGCGUUGUUCGGAUUCACUGGGCGUAAAGGGUGCGUAGGUGGCUUGAAAAGUUUGAUGUGAAAGCUCAGGGCUUAACCCUGAAAUGGCAUUGAAUACUGUCGAGCUGGAGGUUUGGAGGGGGGACUGGAAUUCUUGGUGUAGCAGUGAAAUGCGUAGAUAUCAAGAGGAACACCAGUGGCGAAGGCGACUACCUGGCCUGUUCUUGACGCUGAGGCGCGAAAGCUAGGGGAGCAAACGGG
This 253-nucleotide ribosomal RNA is filed under the name uncultured bacterium. RNAcentral's name for it is "partial 16S ribosomal RNA". It matches the Rfam family "Bacterial small subunit ribosomal RNA", at positions 524 to 776 of the family's 1533-position model. The record is from RNAcentral.